AUGGUUGAACACCAUUCGCUUAUUUUAUCAACAUAUCAACCGGCGCCCCCGGUCUCGGCUCCCGCCGCGCUGCCUGCCAGCUCCGCUGCGGAGAACAAGACAAAGCCCCGCGGGGACAGCAGGCGGGCUUGGGGCUGGAGCAGCUGCUGGGGACACGGGACCCUUGGCGGCGCGGGCCGGGGAGCCAGCUGAGCGGCGUGGGUGUCGGCGGGUGGCGCAGCACCCCCAGAGGGGGCCAUGUCUAACGGGGUUUAGGUACUGCCCAGCGCGGCCAACGGAGAUGUGAAGCUAGUGGUGUCCAGCAUGCCUUUGGUGGACUUCUUGAUGCAGCUGGAGGAUUACACGCCUAUGAUCCCAGAACGCCUACAAUCCCAGAUGCAGUGACUGGUUACUACCUGAACCGUGCUGGCUUUGAGGCCUCAGACCCACGCAUAAUUCGGCUCAUCUCCCUAGCUGCCCAGAAAUUCAUCUCAGAUAUUGCCAAUGAUGCCCUACAGCACUGCAAAAUGAAGGGCACAGCCACUGGCAGCUCCCGGAGCAAGAGCAAGGACUGCAAGUAUACUUUAACCAUGGAGGACUUGACCCCUGCCCUCAGCGAGUAUGGCAUCAAUGUGAAGAAGCUGCACUGCUUCACCUGAGCCACCCAACCUAAAUGUACUUGUCUGUCUCCAUGUCCCCACACCAGCCUGUUUUCAUAAUAAACUUUAUUGUGACAAAAAAAAAAAGA
Molecule: RNA transcript, 727 nt
Organism: Rhinopithecus roxellana (golden snub-nosed monkey)
Lineage: Eukaryota; Metazoa; Chordata; Mammalia; Primates; Cercopithecidae
Gene name: transcription initiation factor TFIID subunit 10 pseudogene
Exons: 2
Source: RefSeq, a predicted model, not a curated record